UUCAAGCUCAAAAAACGUGUUGAAUGAAGAAUGAUUGGCCAAAAUGAUUUCUGUUGUCAGCACAAACCCAGCCACAGGGAGCUGUGCUGGGGACCUGAAUUCCAAGGCCGAGAAAAGGGCAGGGAAGCCUGCAGACCACCAUAGGAGUGACAGAGUGGCCCGACCUGAGAUAGGGGUCUGCACCUUACAGAGACAUCUGUGUGUCUCACUAGGUGUAGUCGUCAGGAGCUGUCGGCCAGGUGACAACCGUCUUGGCCUUUGGCCAGGGCAGAAUGGCUGGCUGGGUUGCUGGUUGGUGACUGGGCAGUGUGGCAGCUCACCAGACUGCACUUUAGCCCCUAGCUGACAUCUGGACUCUGCCGCCCCCCCCAGGGUCACCCAGUGCUGGGCACAGGUGGAGACCCGGCACUUGACUCUCAAACGGAGUGAGUCUGAGUUACAUGCUGGAAGCAUGAGAUCGUCACCAGAUUCCAAAGAUUUGUUUCACACACACAAAUGUGAAAAUACUAAUUUUUUUGUAUCUUGGUUGUAUGUUGAAAUGAUAUUUCAAUAUAUUCGGUUAAUUCCCUGUGUUUCUUCUUACCAUUUUAAUACGGCUACUGGAAAAUCUAACAGUAGCUAUGUGCCUUCUGGUCCAUUUCUAUUGGAUGGUGCUGGUCUAGAUUAUUUGCUUAUUUAUUAUUUAUUGUUGCCCCUACUCCCACCCCACGUCUCUGUUAGAGGGCGGGAGUUGACAUAGUAUUUCGUUCGCUGCCCUGUCGGUUCACGGCGAAUUCCGGGUCUCCGGAGCCCGGCACUGGUGUUUACUGUAGAUGCUCAGUAAAUACUUGUUUAACUGAGCCCGGCGGUGCGAUUGCAGGUCAGUCUCGCAGGGUUAGGAGAGCGUCCCUGUAGGGACCCACGUUGCCCGACUCCUCUACCACCCACAGGGCUCCACAAGGUGACCUGGUCGGCCCCAGGGAGCCUUUCUUGACACCCUUCCCCCACCCCGUG
Phyllostomus discolor (pale spear-nosed bat) is the source of this 993-nucleotide long non-coding RNA. RefSeq lists it as uncharacterized. The record is from RefSeq and is a predicted model, not a curated record. The transcript has 3 exons. Lineage: Eukaryota; Metazoa; Chordata; Mammalia; Chiroptera; Phyllostomidae.